AAUGUAUCAGGUGGAGUUAUUCACUAGCUAUAGAGUGAGUCGUUGUUUAUGUUUCUAAGACUGCAGGGUGGGAGAUGCAACAUUGUCCUUGAGAACAGCAGGAAGUGUGUUGGGGGUCUUUGUCUGGUCUGUAGCAGAAAUGAUGCUGAGGAGAAUCCUGUUAGUCUGAGUGAUGAACCAGACUACACAGGUCAUGUGACAUACUGUAGCAACAAGAAGAAUGGCCACACCCUGACAAUCAGAUCUGAGAGAGAGAGACUCAGCUAUGUACAAGUUCAGAUUUAUAACAGAUCAGACCGUAAGGAAAUAUAGUGGUGAUCCUGGAGUCACUCUGACUGUCACAGAGUGUCCAUCCUGACCCUAACUGGGACACACACACCACUGAAAAUGAGGAUCAGACACUCUGGCUGUAAGUAUGUUAUAACAUAUUCAUUAAUGUGUUUAUUUUGUAUAUAGUAUUUGUGUUUGUUUGUGUGAGUGGGUAAGUGGGUGAGUGAGAGAAAGACAGACACAGAGGAGAGAGAUGAACACAGAAAGUAGAAGUGAGAGAGAAUACUAUAGAGCAGUGUGUAAAGUGCUCAUACUGUGUUUCCUUUGUCGCUGUCUCUCUCUCUGAGUGUGAAAAUCUCCCACAGUGACACGUUCACAUCUCUUCAGAGAGACGCUCAGCACUCCGUGUAUCAGACCAUCCAGGGAAGAGAACCACCACGGAACCUGGAGGGAAGAGAACCACCACAGAACCUGGAGGGAAGAGAACCACCACAGAACCUAGAGGGAAGAGAACCACCACAGAACCUGGAGGGAAGAGAACCACCACAGAACCUAGAGGGAAGAGAACCACCACAGAACCUGGAGGGAAGAGAACCACCACGGAACCUGGAGGGAAGAGAACCACCACAGAACCUGGAGCGAAGAGAACCACCACAGAACCUGGAGCGAAGAGAACCACCACAGAACCUGGACUGAAGAGAACCACCACAGAACCUGGACUGAAGAACUAUGGCCCCAAAUCAAAGCCAGUCCUUACACCUCUAUUCUCUUGCUAAUAUAUUGUUAUAAUAUCUUGAAGUUUCACCCAAAUGACAAAAUGACACAUUGGUUUCCCAUCCCUUUUAUCAGUCUAUGAACAUGGUGUGACAUCAGUCCCUGCUUUGGUUUAGUUUCUCCUGACACUGUUUCCACUUGCUAACGUUUUAGCAUUCGUGGCACAAAUCCCAUUCAAGUAAUGUGACUGUUAAGAGGCAUUUCUCGCACAUAAUUUUUAAAUCAAUCAAAAUAUAUUUUUUAAAUGCGUUGUGAAGCUCAACAAAGUCACUUCCAGAUGAUUUGAACAUGAUGAGAGAAUGUUAAUAUGUGAAAUAUUAACAUCGGUCCCAUGACUUGAAUGGGAUUUUUGUUACAAAUGCUAUAAUGUUAUGUACAUGUGGGAGUGUUCGACUUUGCACCCGACUUUAUAGGCAAGUCGAGAUCUACAAAUCACCUUGAAUGAUGAAUAACUACUCAAUAUUAUUUAUAGAUCAUUCAGUCAGUCACAAUGUACCCAUGAUACAUCAGUUUUGAUGCUCUCGAACACUGUCUGUGUGACUACUGAAGGAAGCCCUCUCUGCAUAAGCUUCUUGGUCCCUGACAUAGAGUUGGGUAGAAGGUACAUCUUGACAUCUUUGUCAUGAUGUCUUCUGUGACUGAGUGAGCAGCACCAUUGAGGGCUAUUUCCAUAUUCAAGUUUUUAAUAUCUUCAACUUCCAUAAGUUUAAUAACAGUCGGUAUACCAACUGAAAUGGUGUAUUCAAUGGCUUAGCCAUGCUAAAACAGGCUUUGAAGCAAGUACGCCCUCUACUCAACUCUAUUGUCCCUGACUGCUUCAAUGUUGUGUCAACCACAGACUUCAAACCUCACACUCAGUGUCUAUUUAUAUAGACUUCCAGUAAGUUAACUUGCAACACAUCUCAACUCUGUAAGUCUGCUUGACUAUAUCUUAAAAUAUGUUUAUUUUAUUA
This is a long non-coding RNA of Oncorhynchus gorbuscha (pink salmon), 1997 nucleotides long. RefSeq lists it as uncharacterized. The transcript is spliced from 3 exons. NCBI's taxonomy places the organism in Eukaryota, Metazoa, Chordata, Actinopteri, Salmoniformes, Salmonidae. The record is from RefSeq and is a predicted model, not a curated record.